This is a long non-coding RNA of Parus major (Great Tit), 1599 nucleotides long. The record is from Ensembl. Lineage: Eukaryota; Metazoa; Chordata; Aves; Passeriformes; Paridae.
CCGCCCGCCCCCUUGGGAAGCGAUUCCCGUGAAGGGGGGCAAAACUGGGAAAGUGUGUGUGGGGGAAGCAGCUGUUACAUACCCUCAACGCGCAGGCGAGCAGCCCUGAAUGGAGGGGGAACUCCCCCCGGGGCGGAUUGGCCCCGCGGUGCUGAUCGUCACGGCCGCACCGCCCACGGCGGGAGGGGGGGCGCGGGGAAGCGGGGUGUGAGGGAAAGGCCUCUCGGCGGAGGGCGGGAGGGAGCCGGUUCCCCCGCGGAGGUAGCCAGCGUUCCCCUCCCUUAAACACGAGAUGGGGGUGGGGGUUAGUGCCUACAAUCAUCGUGUUUCUCUCCGUUUGGAAAGUUGUGGAGUGUGUUGCUGGGUUCCCCAGACGGAGGCUGCAGGAGCCAGGCCUUGGCCGCCUGUUAGUGCUCAUCUGGGCAUCUAAAGUGUGCUCGGGAAAGGCUGAAAUACAAACACACAUUCCACACUCCUAUUAAAACGUGUAUUUCAAGCGCCUUCACUCAAACAAGGUCUAAAUCUCGUAGUUUUUUGUUUCUUUUUCCUUUCCAGCUGUUCAUCCCGUUGUCAGACUGGGAGAGCGCUGCAGGAGCAGGCAGUGAGGUGGUGCCGGGACAAGCAGGCACAGCCGAGGAGGGAGCCGGGAGCUGCAGCUCGGUGUAAGCCCUGGAAGGGCUCUCGACAGAGGGGUUUGAGUUUGCACGGGCUGCAGUGCCACUGGAGAUCGAACCUGAGCCUUGGAAACCGGAGGUGAGGAAGCAGAAGGGCUGGGAAAUGAAGCGCUCUGGAGCUAGGCUCUUUCCAAACUCCCAGGGAGCAAAAUUACAAGCACUAAAGUAAUCGUCAUUAGCGAGGCAGCGUGCACGCAGCCAAGACAGCCAGAUGAGACAGGUGGGCACAGCGAUGGCAGCGCCGCUUUACAAUUGCUCUGCAAUGCCUUUAAAUCCCCGUUUCCAAACUCCAGCGGAACUUUGGAUUUUGUUCUUGGAAUUUCCAGUGCUGUUACUCUUGCCCGUGGUGGUUGAUCCCCAUCUCUGGGCCACUCCAGGGAAGGGGAGAUCCUGCAGGCAUCAGGCUGCUUGCACUCAACUACCCGUUUUUCCCACCGCUUUCCAAACAAUACAGUUUUUCUUUCCAGUAACUUUUGGCUGGCUGCGUGAAGUGACCAUUUCCAGAGAAAUCCUUAUUUCUGCUGCUGAGCAGGACUUGCUGGCACAGAAGGAAUGGAUGGAAGAAAACAUUGUGUUGUGCAAGAGGACCGAAAACGCUGGCUUUGAGAAGAAACGCAGCCCUGGAAAUAACACCCAGGCCAUGAGUCUUGGAAAAGUUUUGGUUCUCUGUGUCCACACCAUGUGGAACUGAGCUAGAAGGCACAACCACCUUUACCAUGUGCACAGAGUGGGCUUGGUUGGGAUUUCACAGCCUGUGGGAGAGAGACAUGGGCUGGGCACAUUUGUGGGGCCACGUGGGACACUUGGCAUCACCUGCAGCUUUCGGAUCUGGACCCAACACUUUGCCAAAAGCCCCGCUGAGCUACAGAGAGCUGCUGCUGACAGCACAGGAUUAACAAUAAACUGCAAACAUUGCCUUCCUGCA